This 776-nucleotide ribosomal RNA is filed under the name uncultured Neocallimastigales. Its description in RNAcentral is "partial large subunit ribosomal RNA". It matches the Rfam family "Eukaryotic large subunit ribosomal RNA", at positions 24 to 644 of the family's 3401-position model. Lineage: Eukaryota; Fungi; Neocallimastigomycota; Neocallimastigomycetes; Neocallimastigales. The record is from RNAcentral.
GUAGUCUCGCACAGAUGCAUAUCAAUAAGCGGAGGAAAAGAAACUAACAAGGAUUCCCCUAGUAACGGCGAGUGUAGCGGGAAGAGCUCAAAUUUGAAAUCUUAAAGGGUUUCCCUUUACGAAUUGUAGUUUAAAGAAGUGUUUUCUGUUGAGGUUUUGGUAAAAGUUCUUUGGAAUAGGACAUCAUAGAGGGUGAGAAUCCCGUAUUUGACCUUUACUUUCAACUUUGUGAUACACUUUCAAAGAGUCGGAUUGUUUGGGAAUGCAGUCCAAAAUGGGUGGUAAACUUUCAUCUAAAGCUAAAUAUUGGCGAGAGACCGAUAGCGAACAAGUACCGUGAGGGAAAGAUGAAAAGAACUUUGAAAAGAGAGUUAAACAGUACGUGAAAUUGUCAAAAGGGAAGCGUUUGACACCAGUGUUGUUUUUCUGAAAAUCAAUUAAAGAACUGUUUAUGCUAAGCUUGUUUAGACUUUAUCAGCUAACUGUUUAGUUUUGAGCUUUUCUUUAAUGCACUUUUCAGUUAACAAGUCAACAUCAAUUUCUUUUGCUGUAAAAAAGCUUGAGGAAGGUGGCUUGAGAUUCGUCUUAAGUGUUUAUAGCCUCUUGCCUAUGCAGUCGGAGAGAUUGAGGUCUGCAGCGUAGAUCCUUCGGGGCUAAAUGCAUUUGUGCUAAGUUAUAGCAUUUUAUAGACAACUUGUUGACUAUGAUUUGUCUUGUAGCUUACUCGCUUAUGUUAUUUUACCUACGCUUAGGAUGUUGAACUACUGAGACAUAGA